GCCAUGUUUAAAACUGUGCCGUAAAACGGAUGAUUAAGCCCUUUGCUAGACCAAAAGAUAAGGCUAUUUUAGGACAAGGAGAAGGAAGUGUCCCUGGAUCCCUAAACAGAGAUGUCGUCUCUGCUCUUAACUCAGCAUCUCAGAUGCCAAAACCUCCUGUGGCCAACAUGGUGGCGCCCAGACAUCAAAGCUGAGCUUUCUUUGUCUCCGGCAGCCUGGGCCACUCCAGAGGUGUUAAAGCUCCAGCACUUCGAGCCUGCCUCGUGGGAAAGUCUUAGGCUGAGUCUGUAGGUGUCUGCAGUUAAGAAGCCAGCGGUCUGCAUAUGAUUGCUCAGGGGUGGUGGCUGGGUCCAACAGCAUUCACUACAGGCCUGCCUUGAAUACCACCUAGCGCAGUGCUCCGCAUAUCACAGGGGCUGGAAACCUAACAAUUUCACUUCCUAGACAACUUGCUAAAAGUCACCUAAAGACAGUCUGGUUACUGCCAAAGAUAUGCUUUCAAAUAAGAUUUGGAUAAAGAAGGGAGGUAGAUGCCUUUUUUCAGCAGUGGAGUGAUGUCUAGACCAGUAGAUGUACGCAUCUAAGUGAAUUCAUCACCAGCAACAAUUUCCAGAAACUUCCUGACCUCCAGAUUGCAGCUUCAUUAGUGUGAGUUUAAAGCCAACUAGAUGCCAUUCUCAGAUUCCACGCAUAUGGCCAAGGGUCCAG
RNAcentral lists this long non-coding RNA (708 nucleotides) under Homo sapiens (human). RNAcentral describes it as "non-protein coding ZNF793-AS1:7". Lineage: Eukaryota; Metazoa; Chordata; Mammalia; Primates; Hominidae. The record is from RNAcentral.